RNAcentral lists this ribosomal RNA (248 nucleotides) under uncultured Gardnerella sp. Its description in RNAcentral is "partial 16S ribosomal RNA". It matches the Rfam family "Bacterial small subunit ribosomal RNA", at positions 107 to 355 of the family's 1533-position model. Lineage: Bacteria; Bacillati; Actinomycetota; Actinomycetes; Bifidobacteriales; Bifidobacteriaceae. The record is from RNAcentral.
GGAGUAAUGCGUGACCAACCUGCCCCAUGCUCCAGAAUAGCUCUUGGAAACGGGUGGUAAUGCUGGAUGCUCCAACUUGACGCAUGUCUUGUUGGGAAAGUGUUUAGUGGCAUGGGAUGGGGUCGCGUCCUAUCAGCUUGUAGGCGGGGUAAUGGCCCACCUAGGCUUCGACGGGUAGCCGGCCUGAGAGGGCGGACGGCCACAUUGGGACUGAGAUACGGCCCAGACUCCUACGGGAGGCAGCAGCU